GACGGAGGGGGGCUAGCGUUGUUCGGAAUUACUGGGGCGUAAAAGCGCGCGUAGGCGGCGCAUUAAGUCAGAGGUGAAAGCCCGGGGCUCAACCCCGGAAUUGCCUUUGAGACUGGUGUGCUUGAGUACGGAAGAGGUGAGUGGAAUUCCCAGUGUAGAGGUGAAAUUCGUAGAUAUUGGGAAGAACACCAGUGGCGAAAGGCGGCUCACUGGUCCGUAACUGACGCUGAGGUGCGAAAGCGUGGGGGAGCAAAACAGGAUUAGAUACCCCGG
Molecule: ribosomal RNA, 273 nt
Filed under: uncultured bacterium
Lineage: Bacteria
Description: partial 16S ribosomal RNA
Rfam family: Bacterial small subunit ribosomal RNA
Source: RNAcentral